AGCCGUAGACAGUCACAGAGGUGGAGAAUCGGGACAGCCGUAGGCAGUCACAGAGGUGGAGAAUCGGGACAGCCGUAGGCAGUCACAGAGGUGGGGAAUCGGGACAGCCUUAGACAGUCACAGAGGUGGAGAAUCGGGACAGCCGUAGGCAGUCACAGAGGUGGAGAAUUGGGACAGCCGUAGACAGUCACAGAGGUGGAGAAUCGGGACAGCCGUAGGCAGUCACAGAGGUGGAGAAUCGGGACAGCCGUAGACAGUCACAGAGGUGGAGAAUCGGGACAGCCUUAGACAGUCACAGAGGUGGAGAAUCGGGACAGCCGUAGACAGUCACAGAGGUGGAGAAUCGGGACAGCCGUAGACAGUCACAGAGGUGGAGAAUCUGGACAGCCGUAGACAGUCACAGAGGUGGAGAAUCGGGACAGCCGUAGACAGUCACAGAGGUGGAGAAUCGGAACAGCCGUAGACAGUCACAGAGGUGAAUGUACUGUAUCUAGUAGGUUGUUAAUGUCCUCUGUCCUGUCUGUU
This is a long non-coding RNA of Oncorhynchus keta (chum salmon), 525 nucleotides long. RefSeq lists it as uncharacterized. The transcript has 3 exons. The record is from RefSeq and is a predicted model, not a curated record. NCBI's taxonomy places the organism in Eukaryota, Metazoa, Chordata, Actinopteri, Salmoniformes, Salmonidae.